CAGCCCCUGUCAUUGCUAAGACUGGCGCCCACACGGGCCGGAGAGGGACCAGCUCAGACCCUGGGAGGGAGCGGGCUGGACGGAGUGGGGUCAGAUCACUCUGUGCGCUCGCACGCUGGAAAAAGCCUGCAAUCCCCUCCUCGGAGUCAGAGGGGGAGGCCGGGUGCCUGGGAGGCAGGACAGUGUGGUCAUCAGCAUCAUUGUCACCACCUACAACCCUAGCGUCAACACAUGCCAGCAGGGCUCUGUGCCAGCUGGCCAACACCUGCCAUCCCGUCUGGUCCUCGUUACCAGCUGUGAGGCAGGAAUUCUCAGUCCCCUUUGAGAAUGGGUGCACUCAGGGGCAGGUCACCUGCCAAGGCACACCCCUACCUGUGCACACUCUUGUGUUGUCAAGACUCGAGCAGCUGCAGGGGACAGAAGCACGAGGAGGAGAAGCUCGAGGAAGCCGGCCAGGAGGCCACCAGAGUGCCUGGCUCUAGGCUGAAGGAGGGGAUUCCCGGGGGAAGGGGCGACCCAGCCAGAGACCGGUCCACUGUGGCUGGCCAGAGCUCACUGGUGCACCUGCCCUGGGUCCCCUGGAACUGGCACCUGUCCCUCAACCUGACCUCUGACCCCGCAGGCAAGCACUUAUUCUUCCCUGCAGUGCAGAUGGGGAAACUGAGGCUGUGAAUAGAGAAGGGCCUUGCCGGGUCGAGGGCUGCUGGGCUCCUCCUCUCCCUGGAGGGAGAGCUCGGCUCCCUGCUCAGCUCAACUCCCCCGAAAUUCCUUCCUUUGCUCCGCAAGGGUCAGCCCGCUCCAGCCCACCAGCCACAGGCACCCGCCCACCGCUGCCUCCUCCCGCCCAGGGCCGGGCCACCAUUGGCUGGAAAGGGUGCCCAUCCUCGCAGGGGGCCCGCCCCCUCCUAACUCUUGCUUCCCAGAGUGGCAGCACCAGAACAGCCCCCAGGGGCCACUGCGGGCCACCUCACACAGGCCACCUCCUUCUCUCUGGCCCUUUGGGCCUGCACAGCUGAACGGAGCGCCCUGCGCCUUCCAGCCCCAGGCGGGUGUGAGCCUGGCCAGUGGGUGGCUCAGCCUGGGAGCUGCGGGGUGACCCAGCGUGGGAGCACCCUUUUGCCUGGCCGUGUGGUGUGCUUGCCGAUGGCAGGUGCUACGCGUGUGCCUCCUUAGUCUCCCUCCCGCCACGCACUGCUUGAGUCCAGUCGGGCCACUGUCCCACUGUCAGGGACAGGCCGAGAGCUUCUCCACGCUGGGCUUGCCCAAGCUGUCCUGUGCCUGCGACCCCAGACCUCCCGCCCACCCACAUCCUUCCUGGUCCUGGCCAAGAGCCCCACUCUUCUUGGUGUCCCUUCCAGACACCCACCAACCCUCGGGUCUGGGCCCCCAGCCUUGCCUCCAGGGGUGUCUGACUCUGGAGCCUCACCCUCUCACCCGGUGGCCAGGCAGGAUCCCAGCCACACCCACCAGUGCCCAAGGCGGUGGGCUGGCGCCUCCGGCUGCAGGUGGGCAUGGGGGAGGGGCUCCCGUCUCGCCGUCCGGCAGACUGAUUUGUUCCACCUGCAGUGUCCCUGGUGUGUCCUGCCAGGGACACUCUGAAAAGUGCUUUCACUUGUGCACAGAGAGCUCUGGAAGCCAAGUGGACCCCAGAUGAGCCAUAUUAAAGGACAUGUGUGUGACACGUG
Microcebus murinus (gray mouse lemur) is the source of this 1685-nucleotide non-coding RNA. The record is from RefSeq and is a predicted model, not a curated record. NCBI's taxonomy places the organism in Eukaryota, Metazoa, Chordata, Mammalia, Primates, Cheirogaleidae.